Molecule: long non-coding RNA, 505 nt
Organism: Folsomia candida
Lineage: Eukaryota; Metazoa; Arthropoda; Collembola; Entomobryomorpha; Isotomidae
Exons: 2
Source: RefSeq, a predicted model, not a curated record
AGUCCUACUCAAUAAAAAGGGGAGCGAAGUAAAGAGCUACUUACCAGUUGUACAUACCUAAAUACAGUUCACUAAAUUUCCGAAACUCAGGCUCUUCUUUCAUCGCCAUGAAAUUUUGCUGGAUUUAUUGCAUCCUGUUGUGUGCUAUAGCUCUGCAAGAUCUACCCGAAAGUGGGGCUGCUGUACACUCCAAUGUCAAUAGUUGCGACAUAUUCUGCAAUUUGGGCGGUUCCAGCUUAAGUUGUGCUCGAUGCUGUCAACAACAGGGGGUCGUUGUUUCUGGAAAUUAUCAGGCUUACGGUCACUGCGAUGGAUCCACUUGUUUUUGCAGGAUUGCUAACAAAAGAUAAUUUUGUAUGAAGUGGUUAACCAAAAGCUACAAAAUUAGAUUCAGCAAUACGUAAAAUUUUUUGGUGUAUUUUACUUAUCUGUCAGUUGGUAAACGGUUUUGUGCAAUGAAUUGCUAGUGAUUGAAAAUAAAUAAACACAGUUUUAUGCUUGGCAA